Galeopterus variegatus (Sunda flying lemur) is the source of this 4141-nucleotide long non-coding RNA. RefSeq lists it as uncharacterized. The transcript is spliced from 2 exons. NCBI's taxonomy places the organism in Eukaryota, Metazoa, Chordata, Mammalia, Dermoptera, Cynocephalidae. The record is from RefSeq and is a predicted model, not a curated record.
UGCAGGUGGAAAAAUCUAGUAGGCAAUGGGAAGUGAUGGGAGCUGUCACUGCUCAUCUGUGAGAGCGUGUAAACUGGGGUCUCGGAGGACACGCAGAGCUGGUGGGGUGGGGUGGGCUGAAGCAAGGGUGGCGCAGGGAUGCAGAGGUCUCUUUGUGGCUUGUUCCGUGAUGGGUGGGGGUGGAGCGGGGACGCAGAGGUCUCUUUGUGGCUUGUUCCCUGGUGAGUAAGCCUUGGCCCUUUCUGGCUGACAGACUUGCAGCGUGGCCUGCAUCCUGAGGCUUGCAUGCUGUGCAUGGAGGCUGUUAGCACAGGCGGGCCUGGGCAUGCUUAGGCCCACAUCCUGCAGGAGAUGAUGUCAGGCAUCACACGUGCAUCAGCUGCCCCCGCCUGGGGACCUACUAGAAUGUCCCAUAGAGUCAUGGGUGGCUGCCACUGUCCAGGAGCGUUCAGAGCAGCCCCGAGUCUGAGGCUCCAGAAUGUGCUUGGCCCACAGUCCCCAGGGAGUGCUUGUGAAAGACGCACUCGACUGUGGGCACCAGUGACCCUGUUAUCACCAGUGACCAGGGAAGAAUGGUCCAUCUGAUCAUCUUGUACAAAAACGAUUUUGCCCAUUGAUGUUUCUGUCACCCUCAAAGCAGACGCCCCAUGCAGGGUGACGCAUGCAGCGGCUUCCCCCAGCCGGAGGGCCGAGGCCCCACCAUGCAUGUGGCUCUCUCUGGCGCCGUCUCACCGGGGACAGGGCCUGGUGUCUCCCAUGCUCGCAGCAGUGACGCAAAGGGCCGGUCCCUGUGCCUUUCUCCUCACAGGUUCUGUCCUCGGUGCGUUCAGGAGAAGAGGAAGAAGAAGUAGGAGAGGCUGUGUCCCUGGCUGCAUCCCCAGAGGAGCAGGCGUGAUCCUUCAGCACGCUGCAGUGUCUUCUUUCAGUUUAAGACCACCUUGUUUCAAUUGAAUAACUCAGUGGCCAGUUGUAAUUCUGGAUGUUUCCGAAAACAAGAAACCACCAAAACCUGUUUGCACAGAGGGUCAGUCUUGCAGGGGCUUGCCACAGUGACUUUAUUCUUGUGACUUUCAUCCAGACUCCCCUGCCCCGAACGCGGCAAUUGCUGAGUGAGCCCAAGGGGACUCGGAGAGGGGUUGGCAAACUUGGGCUGCUAGGCGGACACAUUUUAAGCCGGCACACUGCCACCACUCUGCAGUCAGAGGGUCGACCUCUCAUGGUCAUCUGUAGUUUACUGGGACUCUUUUGUGCAACACGGGGCUCCCCAUGUCCCCAGUGCCACCGUAAGCACAUGCGUCACUCAGUGAGCCGCGUGUGCGGAGGGCCCAGGGCAGCGCUCACCCGGUGGCUGUCCACACUCCGCUCUGACUCUGAUUCCGGCGACCGUGGACUCUCAGCGAGGACACCUGUGACGUGCCUGGGAAGGGCUGUGGGCUCCUCCCGGGAGGAAGUGGCCCUGCCUCCCUGUGCACUGCCCUUUUAGUUUGGACUUGCGGCCCUCCCUUGGCCGGGUUUGCCUCCUCGGCCAAACGGCUCUUUGCGAGCCAGGAGCCAGCGGGCUGUCGGUCCCGUGGCCAGCACCGAGCAUCCGGGCCGAGGCCGCGGCUCUCUGGGAGUUCCUGAUGUUUUUACUGUGAAGAUGGAGUUACUGUAGUAGCAUGAAGACCGUGGGGUCUGUGUGUCUAUGAAGUCGACUAAGCUGAUUUUAAAACUCUGUUUAUGCUGCAUGUCACUCGACCGGCAGCUUAUGUCCAAGGGGACUAUGGUUGUGUGAUGUGAUUGUGAGCUCGUGUGUGCAGUAGCAGCUCCACAGUGAAGCUGCGAAACUAGAGCGUCCUUCGCGUUUAAUCGGCGUUCACCAAACCGAUUUUGAACCGUCUUUUUGGUAGUAGUUGGGGAAAAAUGCAUCCUUUUGGUCUGUCGAGACACAUUUGUGAUGGUACCUACUGUGUGACCUCAGAGAGCAUCUUCAGACUCUCCGAAACCUCUGGCAUGCGUUCGGAGGAGUUAGAGGAUUCCCGAAGAACUCAGGGGAACCUGUUCCCGUCCUCACACCAGGAAAAGAAACCCGUGAGAUAGAAGUGAAAUGUGAAAUUCCCAAUUUAAGAAGAGCCUCCUUUUCUUUAUGAGGAGGGUCAUCUGGAGUGAUAGACUUGUUUCCUUCUGAUGGCCCCGUUAAUAGUAUACUUUCCUCCUAGUUUUUAAUGUUUCACUGAGGAGAGGAGAUAAAGCAGAAAGGAACUUGUGGAGCUCUGUAUCCUAGACAGUGCCACCCUGCACAUAAGUUAGCAUUCAGUAAACAAGAACGUCAAGGGAUGGUGGCGGUCAGGGUGGUCUCCAGAUCUAUGACUGUCAGCAGUUCUUUGUCCCCGCAGGGCCUUCUGACUGCCAGUCCUUUCCAGGAGCGAGCCAGGGCGCUUGCCGUCACCUGGCUGUGGGUGUGGGUGAGUUGGUGGGUGCUGACGCUCCCAGGUGUCAGGUGCUGGGCAGGUGAGAGGGCACGGCGGCUGCUGCGGUCCCUCCCUGUCGGCCCCCCAGGUCUGAGGGAGCUUUCUGAGAAUGGAUGCCAUGCUGUGGCCCAGAAAGAAGAGGGUCGGGCUGGCAUCAGCAAGAGCCGGCUGGUUCUCUGCUUCACACCCUCAGUCUCAGCUGUGGCUGUGAGACUAGAGAUGUGUUUUUAUUUAGUAACUUAGCUUUUUGUUAACGCAUGUGUUUAAAAAUGAAAGACUCUUUUACCAUUUUUUGUGGAGAGGAAUAGGUAAGUGUAGGGAGUUUUUAAUAAGGCAAUGCCUGAUGACUCUUUAGAAGCUAAUUUAAUGCUGAGCAGUUCACACCCACUGUUACCACCGGGAGAUGGUGUGUGUUGACGUAAGGUUUUUGAUGGCUGCUUUGGUUUCGAUCGAUGUCUGGCUUCCUGAGGUCUUGCCGAGUCCACAGGGACAGCUGUCUUCUGUUCAUGAAGCUUCUGUUUAACACGUGAUGCUGUCUUCUCAUCUGUCACUGUAUGUCAGCCCAUGUCUUGUUUUUAAUUUAAAAAAAUUUUUUUUCUAUACUUAUCUGUUUUUAGUGUUUAUUUUUGCCAGUUACAAUAAUAUCACCAAAAUAAUAUACAUAUAGCUUUGGAAAAACCCCAGAAAACAUGAGAAUAGGAAAAUUUCUGGGGCUGGCUGGUUAGCUCACUUGGGUGAGUGUGGUGCUUAUAACACCAAGCUCGAGGGACCCCCGUACUGGCCAGCUGCAGAACAAAAUAAAAAGAAAAUUUCUUGGGCCGUUGUUUGGAUCCUAACUGAAUGCCUUUCCUGAUGGUCAAUACUGUCUGUGAGUGGGAAAGACUCUCAGGAAUGGCCCUUCAGUUGGAAAAGAAUGCCUUGUCACCUGGCUUGGCUUUGGCCCUGCAGGGACACAGGAGCCAGGCUGCUUGCACUGUCUGAGCAUCACUCCAGAAGGCCUGGCUGCCCUCGCUCAGGGGCUUAGUCCUGGACCAACCCCCACCCCCACACCUGCCUGGCACUGGACCUGACCCUGGAGGUGGCCGAGGAACCAACUCCGUCUCUUGGAUUGAGGGAGUUCUCUGCUGGACCUGAUGGCCGUGCUGCACUUGCCUGCUGACCUGUCCCUGGGAGCCCUUGGCAGGGACUGCUCUGAGCAGUAGUGCCGCCCGAAGAGCAGCUUCCCCAGAGGACCACAGAGCCACGGUGGGCCCUGCCACAGGAUCUGCAGAUGAGGUCUUCGUGGUUUAAAAUGACACAACGAGGGACAUUUAUUAUGGGCAUUGAAGGUUUGUUUCCUCAAGUUUUUAGUGAACAGUGAUUGGUCUCAUUAUGUGUGCUGAGAGGACUUGUAAAAAGGGGAGUCUGAGAAAAAUGUCAUUCAGGGGAGAGUUCUGUGAAGUUUCUUUCUUCCUAGGUAUGUAUUUUGUGGUGUUCACCUUUACCACAUUUCAUCCAAAAAGAUGAUGCAGCUUUAACAUGAAUGUUACAUUUUAUUUUCAAGGAAUUAUUAUCUAUGUUCCCUUUGUAAAGGAAAGAUGAUAUUGUAAAUCUUUUUAUUAAAUAAUGUAAAGAUGUAUAUCUGUAUUUUUGGAUCAUGUUAUAGAUUAUGGAUAUAUUGUUUAAUAAAUAAAAUAUUUUUUUGGAACAAA